UACAGAGGGGGCAAGCGUUGUCCGGAAUCAUUGGGCGUAAAGAGCGCGUAGGCGGCCCGGUAAGUCCGUUGUGAAAGUCAAAGGCUCAACCUUUGAAAGCCGAUGGAUACUGCCGGGCUAGAGUCCGGAAGAGGCGAGUGGAAUUCCUGGUGUAGCGGUGGAAUGCGCAGAUAUCAGGAGGAACACCGAUAGCGAAGGCAGCUCGCUGGGACGGUACUGACGCUGAGGCGCGAAAGCGUGGGGAGCGAACAGG
Molecule: ribosomal RNA, 253 nt
Filed under: uncultured bacterium
Lineage: Bacteria
Description: partial 16S ribosomal RNA
Rfam family: Bacterial small subunit ribosomal RNA
Source: RNAcentral